CCCUUAGAUGUUCUGGGCCGCACGCGCGCUACACUGAUGCAUUCAACGAGCCUAUCCUUGACCGACAGGUCCGGGUAAUCUUUGAAUCUGCAUCGUGACGGGGAUAGAUUAUUGCAAUUAUUAAUCUUCAACGAGGAAUGCCUAGUAGGCGCAAGUCAUCAGCUUGCGUCGAUUACGUCCCUGCCCUUUGUACACACCGCCCGUCGCUCCUACCGAUUGGGUGUGCUGGUGAAAUGUUCGGAUCGGCCGUUUGUCGCGGUUUCCGCGUCAUGUGGCUUGGAAGUUCAUUAAACCCUCCCACCUAGAGGAAGGAGAAGUCGUAACA
RNAcentral lists this ribosomal RNA (325 nucleotides) under uncultured eukaryote. RNAcentral describes it as "partial 18S ribosomal RNA". It matches the Rfam family "Eukaryotic small subunit ribosomal RNA", at positions 1470 to 1796 of the family's 1831-position model. The record is from RNAcentral.